Molecule: non-coding RNA, 409 nt
Filed under: Pan troglodytes (chimpanzee)
Lineage: Eukaryota; Metazoa; Chordata; Mammalia; Primates; Hominidae
Source: RNAcentral
CCUCAGCGUACAUGCCAGCUAAUUACAGAUGCAGGAGCAAACCCCUGGCCCAUACAUCAGUUGGGUGUGGUGACUCACACCUGCAAUCCCAGCACUUCAGGAGGCUGAGGAGAGCAGAUCACUUGCGGCCAGGAGUUCGAGACCAGUCUGGGCAACAUAAUGGAGUUUCGCUCUUGUUGCCCAGGCUGGAGUGCAACGGCACGAUCUCAGCUCACCGCAACCUCCACCUCCCAAGUUCAAGCAAUUCUCCUGCCUCAGCCUCCUGAGUAGCUGGAAUUACAGGAUUUUGGAAGCAUUGCCUUCUACAGAAUCCACAGUAGUCCGAAGUUCUUCUACGGUUUUUGUCAAACUUUGAUUUUCCAUCUCUAGCUUCAAUAAUCUACUUGAUGUCAACUCAUUCACCUCAUGG